GUAAUCAUAUAAGAAUUUUUGAGGGAUACCUUGGUAUUCAAAAAUGAAGAAGGACGUAUUUCAAUGCGAUAAGUUUUAAGAAGAGAUAACUAAAUCUUUGAUUUAAAAAUUUCCGAAUGAGGAAACUCCAAGAACUUUUUAUUUAAUAAAAAUAAAAAAGAAUAAACUUAAUGAAUUGAAACAUCUUAGUAAUUAAUGGAAUAGAAAAUAAAAAUGAUUCCCUUAGUAGUGGUGAACAAAAGGGGAAAUGUCUAAACUUAUAAAAAUAAGGGUUAUAGGAUUUUAAAACUAUAUUUAUAAACGUUAUAAAAAUCUUUUGAAAUAAAGUACCAAAGAAAGUUAUAGUCUUGUUUUAUAUCGUUUUUAUAAUAUUUUUAUUUUCCUAAGUAGCAUGAAUCACGUGAAAUUUUGUGUGAAUUAACGAGGACCAUCUCGUAAGACUAAAUAUUAAUGAAUAACCUAUAGUAAACUAGUACCGUGAGGGAACGGUGAAAAGAAUCCCGAGAGGGAUGUGAAAAAGAGCAUGAAAUCAUAAAUUUACAAACAGUAGAAAAACGAUAUAACGUUUAUCUGCGUUCCUGUUGAAGAAUGCGUCGGCGAGUUAUUUAUAAUGGCUUGGUUAAUUUAUGUUUUAUUGAAGCCUUAACGAAAGUAAGUCUAAAAAGGGCUUGUGUCAUUAUAUUUAAACCCGAACUCAAAUGAUCUAACCAAGAGCAGAAUGAAUUUUAAAUAAAAUUAAGUGGAGGUUCGAACUGUCUAAUGUUGAAAAAUUAGCAGAUGACUUUUGGUUAGGGGUGAAAUGCCAAUCGAAUUUGAAGCUAGCUGGUUCUCUUCGAAAUGUGUUUAGGCGCAGCAAUAAAUGUUUUUUUUAGGGGUAAAGCACUGUUUUAAAAAAUAUUAGAAAUAAGAGUUUAUUAAUACAAACUAAGAAUACUAUAUAAAAAAUUUAUUAGUUAGACAUUGUGGGAUAAGCUUCAAUGUCAAAAGGGAAACAGCCCAGAUUACCAUCUAAGGUCUCAAAAUAAUUACCAAGUGUAAAAGGAAGUAUUUCUACUUAAACAAUCAGGAGGUUGGCUUAGAAGCAGCAAUCCUUUAAAAAAUGCGUAAUAGCUUACUGAUCGAGUUGAUAUGCACCGAAAAUAAUUGGGGCUAAGUAAUUUACCGAAGAUGUGAGAUAAUAUGAUUAUCGAUAGAAGAGCGUUCUGUUUUUGUAAGAAGCAUUAAUGAAAAUAAAUGUAGACAAAUCAGAAGUGAGAAUGUCGACUUGAGUAACGAAAACAUUAGUGAGAAUCUAAUGCUCCGAAAACUUAAAGAUUCCGUUGUUAGAUUCGUUCUCAGCGGGUUAGUCUGGUCCUAAGAUAAGGUCAAAUGACGUAGUUAAUGGAAAAUAGGUUAAUAUUCCUAUACUAUUUUUUAUUUAUAAAAAAGGACGAAAUGGGCUAAAAUAACCGAUUAUUGGUUAUCGGUACAAAUAUUUUAAAUUUAGAUUGAUUUUUAAAAUAUCAGGAGUGUAAAAAUUUGUAUAAUAUGUAAUUUCAUAAAAAUAUAAUAGGCUAUAUUUCCAAGAAAAGUUUAAUUUAUUAAAAUAAAAAAUACUAGUACUUAAACCAUCACAGGUGAGUUAGUAAAAUAUACUAAGGAGCGCGAAAUAACUCUCGCUAAGGAACUCGGCAAAUUAACUUUUUACCUUCGGAAAAAAAAGUACCUUUUGGGUUGCAAUAAAAAGAUUCAAACGACUGUUUAACAAAAACACAGGUUUCUGCUAAGUUGUAAAACGAUGUAAAGAAGCUGACACCUGCCCAGUGCCAGAUGGUUAAAGAAAUUUGUUAAUAAACUUAUAACAUAAGCCCUGGUGAACGGCGGCCGUAACUAUAACGGUCCUAAGGUAGCGAAAUUCCUUGUCGGGUAAGUUCCGACCCGCACGAAAGGUGUAACGAUUUGGAUGCUGUCUAUGCGAGAGAUUCGGUGAAAUAGACAUGUCUGUGAAGAUGCGGACUACCUGUACCAGGACAGAAAGACCCUAUGAAGCUUUACUGUAAUUAAAUAUUGAUUUUAAAAACGUUUUGUGCAGAAUAAAUGGAAGUUAAUAAAUGUUUUAUGACUAUCUAUUAACGCUAGUGAGAUACCAUUCUUAACGUUUUUAAAAUCUAAUUAUACUUUUAUAAAACAGUUUUUAAUAGACAGUUUGACUGGGGCGGUCACCUCCUAAAAAGUAACGGAGGUGUACAAUGGUUUUAGAAAAUCGGUCAGAAAUCGAUUAUAACGCAUAAAGGUAAAUAAAAGCUUGACUGUAAGACAAACACGUCAAACAGAGACGAAAGUCGGUCUUAGUGAUCUGAUAAUACUAAAUGGAAGGGUUAUCACUCAACGGAUAAAAGUUACUCUAGGGAUAACAGGCUAAUCUUCCCCGAGAGUUCCUAUCGACGGGAAGGUUUGGCACCUCGAUGUCGGCUCAUCGCAUCCUGAAGCAGUAGUAUGUUUCAAGGGUUGGGCUGUUCGCCCAUAAAAGCGGUACGCGAGCUGGGUUCAGAACGUCGUGAGACAGUUUGGUCCAUAUCCGGUAUUGGCGUUCGAGUAUUGAAGAAAUUUAUUUUUAGUACGAGAGGACCAAAAUAAACAGACCACUGGUGUAUCAAUUAUUAUACCAAUAGUAUAUGUUGAGUAGCUAAGUCUGAAAAGAUAAUCACUGAAAGCAUAUAAGUGAGAAACUAAUUCUAAGAUUAAUGCUCGUUAAUAAAAUUAGACUCUGAUUAGACUAAUCAGUUGAUAGGUAUUUUGUAGAAAUUUAGUAAUAAAUUAAGCAAAAAUAUACUAAUAAGUCAAACUAUUA
This 2830-nucleotide ribosomal RNA is filed under the name Pteridomonas sp. YPF1301. RNAcentral describes it as "23S ribosomal RNA". It matches the Rfam family "Bacterial large subunit ribosomal RNA". Lineage: Eukaryota; Dictyochophyceae; Pedinellales. The record is from RNAcentral.